GAUCAUGGCUCAGGAUGAACGCUAGCUACAGGCUUAACACAUGCAAGUCGAGGGGUCUGCUUCGGCAGACGACCGGCGCACGGGUGAGUAACGCGUAUCCAACCUGCCCUUCUCAUUGGGAUAGCCUUUCGAAAGAGAGAUUAAUACCGAAUAACAUAGUAAAGUUGCAUGAUCUUACUAUGAAAGCUCCGGCGGAGAAGGAUGGGGAUGCGUUCCAUUAGCUAGAUGGCGGGUAACGGCCCACCAUGGCGACGAUGUCUAGGGGUUCUGAGAGGAAGGUCCCCCACACUGGAACUGAGACACGGUCCAGACUCCUACGGGAGGCAGCAGUGAGGAAUAUUGGUCAAUGGUCGGAAGACUGAACCAGCCAAGUAGCGUGAAGGAUGAAGGUUCUAUGGAUUGUAAACUUCUUUAUAUAGGAAUAAACCUCCCACGUGUGGGAGCUUGUAUGUACUAUAUGAAUAAGCAUCGGCUAACUCCGUG
RNAcentral lists this ribosomal RNA (483 nucleotides) under uncultured bacterium. RNAcentral describes it as "bacterial SSU rRNA". It matches the Rfam family "Bacterial small subunit ribosomal RNA", at positions 15 to 507 of the family's 1533-position model. The record is from RNAcentral.